CAUCUCUGCAAAGACCUCCACAUCAAAGUUCUCCUCAACACUCUGCUGGGAGCCAAGAUCCUCCAGGACUCCAGUGAUGUAAGACAGAAGAACAUCAUCCAGUGUGCUGCAAUGAACGGUAAAAAGAAGUUGACUCCAAAACUGACGUGACGUGACUUUUGAAAUUUUAUUUUGAAAGGAUGAAACAUCUGCUUACCUGAGAUCUGCGUCAGGGAUGUAAGUCUGAAUGAACUCAUGCAGCGCACUGUGGAUGAUUUUGUGGAGGUCCAUGGCUUUGUCCUGUUUUGCAGCAGAGGAAACACGCACAGAGCUGGAGUUCAGCAGAUAGAGACGGCAACCACAGUGAGCAGCAGCAGCAGCCUCGACCCUUAAAUAACCAAACCAAACCCAACAGUUGUCGCCCAUGCACCAAGUAUGGCACACUCUCAGCUCUGACUUAAAUGGCAACGUUACAAAACGAUGUGUUAUGAAAGCUUGGUUGUGAAAGCAGCAUCUUAGCAUUCUGGAUGGCCCAGGGUGCGGUGACGCCAUGGUUUUCCACUAGGAAGUGUUUUGAGAGCACCUGUCCAGUAGCGCCACAAGGCACAUCACCUCCCUGUACUCGGCAGACAAUCCCUGGUCCCUGAACACAUUGUCGUUUCCCCUCAGGCCCAUUAUCAGAUCCCCUCUGUAGGCUCCCAGCAGCUGCAGUUAUUGUGGAAGACUCUACUUUUAUAGCCUCAUGAUGUCUGAGACAACACUAGCUUUUAUGAGUGAGUACAUGUUGUCUUCUGGUUGUUGGGAUGCUAGUUUCCUUUUUGUUUUGUUGACUGAAAAGCUUCCUUCUGACUUUUCCCCAUCAAAUGAAAUCUAAAAUAAAAACUUAAUUAAUACUAAUUAACACAAAAACAUAUUAAAUGAAUAGUUUUUGUCAAACAACUAGAGAAAUAUAGUAAUUCUUGCAGUUUUUUGAGUUCAGACAACAUCUGAAAAUGCAAAUAAUGAAUUAAACAUAGCAUCAUAAAAAAGAAAAAAGAACAAGGUGAUUGUAUUUAAUUCUGAAUUGAAUUUUCUUGUUAUUGUGCUAUUUUCACAUACUAUAUCAUUAAUCAUCUUUUUCCAAUCAUGUUUCUGUACCGAUCGGUCCCCUACUAUCUGUGGGAAAUGUGUUAUCUCUCUCUGCCAUUCAUGUACACAUUUAUUGGUUUCCAAGUCGCCGGGAUCAAUCUUUUGGCCACCAGAGGAGCAUAACUAAUGGCAACAUUAGAAUGGCUUUGUGAGAGGGACUGGCCGGAUGCGGGUUAACCAAGCAGGAAAUAAUCUAGGAUUUUAUAUCCUGCAUGAAUGGCCAUAGGAUAUGCUGAGAAUAAAUUAAUCCCCCCCAAAAUUUUAGCAGUGAGGUUAUCUUUUGAGUGAAACAGUUUCAGAGGUGCAGGCGGGUUUGUUUGUCUGAUAUUU
This is a long non-coding RNA of Amphiprion ocellaris (clown anemonefish), 1437 nucleotides long. RefSeq lists it as uncharacterized. The record is from RefSeq and is a predicted model, not a curated record. The transcript is spliced from 3 exons. Lineage: Eukaryota; Metazoa; Chordata; Actinopteri; Pomacentridae.